This 345-nucleotide RNase P RNA is filed under the name Romboutsia maritimum. Its description in RNAcentral is "Bacterial RNase P class A". It matches the Rfam family "Bacterial RNase P class A". Rfam says of the family: Ribonuclease P (RNase P) is a ubiquitous endoribonuclease, found in archaea, bacteria and eukarya as well as chloroplasts and mitochondria. Its best characterised activity is the generation of mature 5'-ends of tRNAs by cleaving the 5'-leader elements of precursor-tRNAs. Cellular RNase Ps are ribonucleoproteins. Lineage: Bacteria; Bacillati; Bacillota; Clostridia; Peptostreptococcales; Peptostreptococcaceae. The record is from Rfam by way of RNAcentral.
UAAGUAAGUCAGAUAAUCGCGGGCAGCAUUUUGCUGCGUGAGGAAAGUCGGAGCUCCAUAGAGCAAGGGUGCUAGGUAACGCCUAGUGGGAGCGAUCCUAAGGACAGUGCAACAGAAAAUUACCGCCACUUAAUUGUGGUAAGGAUGAAAAAGUGAGGUAAGAGCUCACUAUGGGCUAGGUGACUAGUUUCAUGUGUAAACCCCACCCGGAGCAAGACCAAGUUAGGAUAAAAAGAGUGCUGCUCGUACUCUCCGGUAUGGUAGGUCGCUUGAGCCUAUUGGUGACAAUAGGCCUAGAAAGAUGAUUAUCUAAUACAGAACUCCGCUUAUAGAUUUGCUUAAUUU